Thamnophis elegans (Western terrestrial garter snake) is the source of this 639-nucleotide non-coding RNA. The record is from the annotation of a RefSeq genome assembly. Lineage: Eukaryota; Metazoa; Chordata; Lepidosauria; Squamata; Natricidae.
AUGUGUGGAAUCUCAGAACUGAUCUUGGAAGAAGAAGUGGGGACUCUUUUUAGUGAAUCUCAGAGCAAAUUAUUAGAGAUAGAAAUAUGGAUAGAUGUCCCAGGCUGCAAGAGGGACUCCAUGUCCCACCUUAGGCAGAUAUGCAAAUCAAGACACAAUUUCCCCUUUAAAGAAGCCCAACUUACUUUUAAGGCAACACCCACCAACAUAAACCUUGGGCUAUUUCCAGAAUCAUCUCCUAUCAAUUUCAUCUGUUCAUUACAGGGAGCAAAAAUGUGGCUAAACCUUCUGUCCAUACUUGUAGUCCUUAAAGGAGUCCAGUCUCAAGUCCAGUUCGUGGAGUCUGGAGGGGAUGUGAGAAGACCUGGGGAGUCCCUCCGUCUCUCCUGUCAAGCAUCUGGAUUCACCUUCAGCAGCUACUGGAUGGACUGGGUGAGACAGGCACCAGGGAAAGGACUGGAAUGGGUUUCAAGGAUACAUCCAGGUUUAUCUCCAAUUUACUACUCAGACAAAGUCAAGGGACGUUUCACCAUCUCCAGGGACAAUGCCAAAAGUCAGCUGUAUCUGCAAAUGAACAACCUCAAAACCGAAGACACAGGAGUUUAUUACUGUGCAAGAGGCACAGUGAGAGGAAGUGAA